This 409-nucleotide ribosomal RNA is filed under the name uncultured bacterium. Its description in RNAcentral is "bacterial SSU rRNA". It matches the Rfam family "Bacterial small subunit ribosomal RNA", at positions 356 to 773 of the family's 1533-position model. The record is from RNAcentral.
GGGGAAUAUUGCACAAUGGGCGCAAGCCUGAUGCAGCGACGCCGCGUGCGGGAUGGAGGCCUUCGGGUUGUAAACCGCUUUUGAUCGGGAGCAAGCCCUGCGGGGUGAGUGUACCUUUCGAAUAAGCACCGGCUAACUACGUGCCAGCAGCCGCGGUAAUACGUAGGGUGCAAGCGUUAUCCGGAAUUAUUGGGCGUAAAGGGCUCGUAGGCGGUUCGUCGCGUCCGGUGUGAAAGCCCAUCGCUUAACGGUGGGUCUGCGCCGGGUACGGGCGGGCUGGAGUGCGGUAGGGGAGACUGGAAUUCCCGGUGUAACGGUGGAAUGUGUAGAUAUCGGGAAGAACACCAAUGGCGAAGGCAGGUCUCUGGGCCGUCACUGACGCUGAGGAGCGAAAGCGUGGGGAGCGAAC